UAACGUGAGCGUCCUAAGGUAGCGCGAUAAUUUGCUUUUCAAUUGAAGGAUGGUAUGAAAGGGUUAACGAAGAAGGUGCUGUGUCUAAAAAUUCAAUUUAAACUAACUUUAAGGUGAAGAGGCCUUUAUGUAAAAGAAGGACGACAAGACCCUAUGAAGCUUUAUCUUAAUUGGAGCUCUCAGGCUCUUAUACGAUUUUGAUGGGAGAUCAGUAGAAAGAAGUCUUCUACUAUCAUAUUAAUCUUACUAGUAUUUCCUAACUUUAUAUGUGUGGCUAGCUACUCUAGGGAUAACAGCGCAAUUUCUCCCGAAAGACGGUAUUGGAGGGGAAGAUUGCGACCUCGAUGUUGGCUUUAGAUAUCCUAGAGGCGUAGAAGCUUCU
Molecule: ribosomal RNA, 382 nt
Filed under: Mytilus galloprovincialis (Mediterranean mussel)
Lineage: Eukaryota; Metazoa; Mollusca; Bivalvia; Mytilida; Mytilidae
Description: partial 16S ribosomal RNA
Rfam family: Bacterial large subunit ribosomal RNA
Source: RNAcentral